GGUGUGUCGUGAGGCAUGCUGGAGGUAUCAGAAGUGCGAAUGCUGACAUAAGUAACGAUAAAGCGGGUGAAAAGCCCGCUCGCCGGAAGACCAAGGGUUCCUGUCCAACGUUAAUCGGGGCAGGGUGAGUCGACCCCUAAGGCGAGGCCGAAAGGCGUAGUCGAUGGGAAACGGGUUAAUAUUCCCGUACUUGGUGUUACUGCGAAGGGGGGACGGAGAAGGCUAUGUUGGCCGGGCGACGGUUGUCCCGGUUUAAGCGUGUAGGCUGGUUUUCCAGGCAAAUCCGGAAAAUCAAGGCUGAGGCGUGAUGACGAGGCACUACGGUGCUGAAGCAACAAAUGCCCUGCUUCCAGGAAAAGCCUCUAAGCAUCAGGUAACAUCAAAUCGUACCCCAAACCGACACAGGUGGUCAGGUAGAGAAUACCAAGGCGCUUGAGAGAACUCGGGUGAAGGAACUAGGCAAAAUGGUGCCGUAACUUCGGGAGAAGGCACGCUGACACGUAGGUGAAGUGAUUUACUCAUGGAGCUGAAGUCAGUCGAAGAUACCAGCUGGCUGCAACUGUUUAUUAAAAACACAGCACUGUGCAAACACGAAAGUGGACGUAUACGGUGUGACGCCUGCCCGGUGCCGGAAGGUUAAUUGAUGGGGUCAGCGCAAGCGAAGCUCCUGAUCGAAGCCCCGGUAAACGGCGGCCGUAACUAUAACGGUCCUAAGGUAGCGAAAUUCCUUGUCGGGUAAGUUCCGACCUGCACGAAUGGCGUAAUGAUGGCCAGGCUGUCUCCACCCGAGACUCAGUGAAAUUGAACUCGCUGUGAAGAUGCAGUGUACCCGCGGCAAGACGGAAAGACCCCGUGAACCUUUACUAUAGCUUGACACUGAACAUUGAGCCUUGAUGUGUAGGAUAGGUGGGAGGCUUUGAAGUGUGGACGCCAGUCUGCAUGGAGCCGACCUUGAAAUACCACCCUUUAAUGUUUGAUGUUCUAACGUGGACCCGUUACCCGGGUUGCGGACAGUGUCUGGUGGGUAGUUUGACUGGGGCGGUCUCCUCCUAAAGAGUAACGGAGGAGCACGAAGGUUGGCUAAUCCUGGUCGGACAUCAGGAGGUUAGUGCAAUGGCAUAAGCCAGCUUGACUGCGAGCGUGACGGCGCGAGCAGGUGCGAAAGCAGGUCAUAGUGAUCCGGUGGUUCUGAAUGGAAGGGCCAUCGCUCAACGGAUAAAAGGUACUCCGGGGAUAACAGGCUGAUACCGCCCAAGAGUUCAUAUCGACGGCGGUGUUUGGCACCUCGAUGUCGGCUCAUCACAUCCUGGGGCUGAAGUAGGUCCCAAGGGUAUGGCUGUUCGCCAUUUAAAGUGGUACGCGAGCUGGGUUUAGAACGUCGUGAGACAGUUCGGUCCCUAUCUGCCGUGGGCGCUGGAGAACUGAGGGGGGCUGCUCCUAGUACGAGAGGACCGGAGUGGACGCAUCACUGGUGUUCGGGUUGUCAUGCCAAUGGCACUGCCCGGUAGCUAAAUGCGGAAGAGAUAAGUGCUGAAAGCAUCUAAGCACGAAACUUGCCCCGAG
RNAcentral lists this ribosomal RNA (1563 nucleotides) under Salmonella enterica subsp. enterica serovar Enteritidis. RNAcentral describes it as "partial 23S ribosomal RNA". It matches the Rfam family "Bacterial large subunit ribosomal RNA", at positions 1255 to 2803 of the family's 2925-position model. The record is from RNAcentral. Lineage: Bacteria; Pseudomonadati; Pseudomonadota; Gammaproteobacteria; Enterobacterales; Enterobacteriaceae.